This 2929-nucleotide ribosomal RNA is filed under the name Escherichia coli. RNAcentral's name for it is "bacterial LSU rRNA". It matches the Rfam family "Bacterial large subunit ribosomal RNA". Lineage: Bacteria; Pseudomonadati; Pseudomonadota; Gammaproteobacteria; Enterobacterales; Enterobacteriaceae. The record is from RNAcentral.
GGGUUGUGAGGUUAAGCGACUAAGCGUACACGGUGGAUGCCCUGGCAGUCAGAGGCGAUGAAGGACGUGCUAAUCUGCGAUAAGCGUCGGUAAGGUGAUAUGAACCGUUAUAACCGGCGAUUUCCGAAUGGGGAAACCCAGUGUGUUUCGACACACUAUCAUUAACUGAAUCCAUAGGUUAAUGAGGCGAACCGGGGGAACUGAAACAUCUAAGUACCCCGAGGAAAAGAAAUCAACCGAGAUUCCCCCAGUAGCGGCGAGCGAACGGGGAGGAGCCCAGAGCCUGAAUCAGUGUGUGUGUUAGUGGAAGCGUCUGGAAAGGCGCGCGAUACAGGGUGACAGCCCCGUACACAAAAAUGCACAUACUGUGAGCUCGAUGAGUAGGGCGGGACACGUGGUAUCCUGUCUGAAUAUGGGGGGACCAUCCUCCAAGGCUAAAUACUCCUGACUGACCGAUAGUGAACCAGUACCGUGAGGGAAAGGCGAAAAGAACCCCGGCGAGGGGAGUGAAAAAGAACCUGAAACCGUGUACGUACAAGCAGUGGGAGCCUCUUUUAUGGGGUGACUGCGUACCUUUUGUAUAAUGGGUCAGCGACUUAUAUUCUGUAGCAAGGUUAACCGAAUAGGGGAGCCGAAGGGAAACCGAGUCUUAACUGGGCGUUAAGUUGCAGGGUAUAGACCCGAAACCCGGUGAUCUAGCCAUGGGCAGGUUGAAGGUUGGGUAACACUAACUGGAGGACCGAACCGACUAAUGUUGAAAAAUUAGCGGAUGACUUGUGGCUGGGGGUGAAAGGCCAAUCAAACCGGGAGAUAGCUGGUUCUCCCCGAAAGCUAUUUAGGUAGCGCCUCGUGAACUCAUCUCCGGGGGUAGAGCACUGUUUCGGCAAGGGGGUCAUCCCGACUUACCAACCCGAUGCAAACUGCGAAUACCGGAGAAUGUUAUCACGGGAGACACACGGCGGGUGCUAACGUCCGUCGUGAAGAGGGAAACAACCCAGACCGCCAGCUAAGGUCCCAAAGUCAUGGUUAAGUGGGAAACGAUGUGGGAAGGCCCAGACAGCCAGGAUGUUGGCUUAGAAGCAGCCAUCAUUUAAAGAAAGCGUAAUAGCUCACUGGUCGAGUCGGCCUGCGCGGAAGAUGUAACGGGGCUAAACCAUGCACCGAAGCUGCGGCAGCGACACUAUGUGUUGUUGGGUAGGGGAGCGUUCUGUAAGCCUGUGAAGGUGUGCUGUGAGGCAUGCUGGAGGUAUCAGAAGUGCGAAUGCUGACAUAAGUAACGAUAAAGCGGGUGAAAAGCCCGCUCGCCGGAAGACCAAGGGUUCCUGUCCAACGUUAAUCGGGGCAGGGUGAGUCGACCCCUAAGGCGAGGCCGAAAGGCGUAGUCGAUGGGAAACAGGUUAAUAUUCCUGUACUUGGUGUUACUGCGAAGGGGGGACGGAGAAGGCUAUGUUGGCCGGGCGACGGUUGUCCCGGUUUAAGCGUGUAGGCUGGUUUUCCAGGCAAAUCCGGAAAAUCAAGGCUGAGGCGUGAUGACGAGGCACUACGGUGCUGAAGCAACAAAUGCCCUGCUUCCAGGAAAAGCCUCUAAGCAUCAGGUAACAUCAAAUCGUACCCCAAACCGACACAGGUGGUCAGGUAGAGAAUACCAAGGCGCUUGAGAGAACUCGGGUGAAGGAACUAGGCAAAAUGGUGCCGUAACUUCGGGAGAAGGCACGCUGAUAUGUAGGUGAAGCGACUUGCUCGUGGAGCUGAAAUCAGUCGAAGAUACCAGCUGGCUGCAACUGUUUAUUAAAAACACAGCACUGUGCAAACACGAAAGUGGACGUAUACGGUGUGACGCCUGCCCGGUGCCGGAAGGUUAAUUGAUGGGGUCAGCGCAAGCGAAGCUCUUGAUCGAAGCCCCGGUAAACGGCGGCCGUAACUAUAACGGUCCUAAGGUAGCGAAAUUCCUUGUCGGGUAAGUUCCGACCUGCACGAAUGGCGUAAUGAUGGCCAGGCUGUCUCCACCCGAGACUCAGUGAAAUUGAACUCGCUGUGAAGAUGCAGUGUACCCGCGGCAAGACGGAAAGACCCCGUGAACCUUUACUAUAGCUUGACACUGAACAUUGAGCCUUGAUGUGUAGGAUAGGUGGGAGGCUUAGAAGUGUGGACGCCAGUCUGCAUGGAGCCGACCUUGAAAUACCACCCUUUAAUGUUUGAUGUUCUAACGUUGACCCGUGAUCCGGGUUGCGGACAGUGUCUGGUGGGUAGUUUGACUGGGGCGGUCUCCUCCUAAAGAGUAACGGAGGAGCACGAAGGUUGGCUAAUCCUGGUCGGACAUCAGGAGGUUAGUGCAAUGGCAUAAGCCAGCUUGACUGCGAGCGUGACGGCGCGAGCAGGUGCGAAAGCAGGUCAUAGUGAUCCGGUGGUUCUGAAUGGAAGGGCCAUCGCUCAACGGAUAAAAGGUACUCCGGGGAUAACAGGCUGAUACCGCCCAAGAGUUCAUAUCGACGGCGGUGUUUGGCACCUCGAUGUCGGCUCAUCACAUCCUGGGGCUGAAGUAGGUCCCAAGGGUAUGGCUGUUCGCCAUUUAAAGUGGUACGCGAGCUGGGUUUAGAACGUCGUGAGACAGUUCGGUCCCUAUCUGCCGUGGGCGCUGGAGAACUGAGGGGGGCUGCUCCUAGUACGAGAGGACCGGAGUGGACGCAUCACUGGUGUUCGGGUUGUCAUGCCAAUGGCACUGCCCGGUAGCUAAAUGCGGAAGAGAUAAGUGCUGAAAGCAUCUAAGCACGAAACUUGCCCCGAGAUGAGUUCUCCCUGACCCUUUAAGGGUCCUGAAGGAACGUUGAAGACGACGACGUUGAUAGGCCGGGUGUGUAAGCGCAGCGAUGCGUUGAGCUAACCGGUACUAAUGAACCGUGAGGCUUAACCUUACAACGCCGAAGCUGUU